This 253-nucleotide ribosomal RNA is filed under the name uncultured bacterium. RNAcentral's name for it is "partial 16S ribosomal RNA". It matches the Rfam family "Bacterial small subunit ribosomal RNA", at positions 524 to 776 of the family's 1533-position model. The record is from RNAcentral.
UACGUAGGCAGCAAGCGUUGUUCGGAGUUACUGGGCGUAAAGGGUGCGUAGGCGGUUGUUUAAGUUUGGUGUGAAAUCUCCCGGCUCAACCGGGAGGGUGCGCCGAAUACUGAACGGCUAGAGUGCGGGAGAGGAGAGUGGAAUUCCUGGUGUAGCGGUGAAAUGCGUAGAUAUCUGGAGGAACACCGGUGGCGAAGGCGGCAUCCUGGACCAAUACUGACACUGAGGAGCGAAAGCCAGGGGAGCAAACGGG